UAAAACAGUAAAGCCUCCGACAUACUUUGUUUUUCAAUAAACAUUUUUUAAUUAUUUUUUGGAAUUUUUUUAUGACACUUUAAUGCGAGUCCGAAAUUGCAUUGAUUUCUCGGAAUUCUUCUCUGAUCACAAAAGAAAAUAUUCUGCAAGGGGAGGGCACAAAAUCAAAGCUUCAAGAGCUAUAUAAAGCGCAGAUUCCUCAAACAGUUCCAUAGUAAAACUCAAGUGAAGUAGACAGAAUGAAAAAUCUCUAUAUACUUUUUGGUCUCCUUGUAUUGGCAGGAUUCCAAUUUGUGGCAGGUGAGACCUUUGUAGAUCACAGGGGUAAAUAUAUUCACAUAUCACCUAGACACCCAACAAAACAAAGUUGGGAGACGAGGCCCAAACGAGUUUUUACCUGAGGAUUUUCAAAGAAAUCAUUCCUUGCUGAGUUUCGUAAUGCAAUUUAAGUGAAGAUGUCCAAUGAGAAACCUUUAUAUCCUUUUUUUCUUUAUAUAUGGCCAGGACUAUCGUCUAAAUCUGCAUAUCUCCACUUCCCAAAAGGAAUUAGGGAUCACACUGGACGCAUUCAUAAUAAAUACGCAACUCACACGCUCAAACCAAAUAACACUCGAAGAUAUACAAAGAAUUCGGGAGGAGAGGCCUGAAACUGAGC
Drosophila kikkawai is the source of this 655-nucleotide long non-coding RNA. RefSeq lists it as uncharacterized. The record is from RefSeq and is a predicted model, not a curated record. NCBI's taxonomy places the organism in Eukaryota, Metazoa, Arthropoda, Insecta, Diptera, Drosophilidae.